GAGGCUCUGAUGCUAUUGCACCACAUGUGUUUUUCUUUGAAACAAACUUGCUUUGGCGGUGGGCCCAGCCUGCCGCCAGAGGUCUAAACUUACAACCAAUUUUUUAUUAACUUGUCACACCAGAUUAUUACUUAAUAGUCAAAACUUUCAACAACGGAUCUCUUGGUUCUCGCAUCGAUGAAGAACGCAGCGAAAUGCGAUACGUAAUAUGAAUUGCAGAUAUUCGUGAAUCAUCGAAUCUUUGAACGCACAUUGCGCCCUCUGGUAUUCCGGAGGGCAUGCCUGUUUGAGCGUCGUUUCUCCCUCAAACCGCUGGGUUUGGUGUUGAGCAAUACGACUUGGGUUUGCUUGAAAGACGGUAGUGGUAAGGCGGGAUCGCUUUGACAAUGGCUUAGGUCUAACCAAAAACAUUGCUUGCGGCGGUAACGUCCACCACGUAUAUCUUCAAACUUUGACCUCAAAUCAGGUAGGACUACCCGCUGAACUUAAGCAUAUCAAAAGCCGGGAGGAA
RNAcentral lists this ribosomal RNA (511 nucleotides) under Candida albicans. RNAcentral's name for it is "eukaryotic LSU rRNA". The stretch from base 143 to 296 matches the Rfam family "5.8S ribosomal RNA". Lineage: Eukaryota; Fungi; Ascomycota; Pichiomycetes; Serinales; Debaryomycetaceae. The record is from RNAcentral.